AAAAUUCAGGUGACAGCAGAUAA
This 23-nucleotide unclassified non-coding RNA is filed under the name Mus musculus (house mouse). Its description in RNAcentral is "oocyte_clustered_small_RNA14156". The record is from RNAcentral. Lineage: Eukaryota; Metazoa; Chordata; Mammalia; Rodentia; Muridae.